GACGGCGAUUAGACCUACAAUAUUUCAAACGAAAAAUUAUACAUACAACUAGAUUUAAUGAAAAUAAUAUGCUGAAAACAAUUGUGGAAUCAGAAUUCAACUUCGGAGGUAUUAUUUGCAGUCAGUACUUACUUUUUAGUAUUUGUAUUUGGAGUGAUCCUGCUAUUGUUUUGAAUGCUAGUAGAAUUACCGACCGAAGCAAUAUCUAUGGUUACGGAGUGCGUGGGCGUUACUUCGUCGUCCUGAGUCGAUACUUCCGUCCAACUUGUCAUGAAUUGAUGAGUGUUGAUGUUAUUCUUUAUACUCUCGUAAUAACUGAAAAUAUCACGCCGUAUCCUAUAAUAGUAAAAACUACAAUCGUCGAAAAUAUUUUAUUACGAAUAUGAUGUACGCUGUGGCCGUGAACGUGCAAGCUUAUUAGUAUUACAAUUUGCACUAAAAUCCAUCUCCGUAAAAUGCGGAAAUGAAAAAUACAUUAGUCCGGAACAUCGUAGAUAAGAUCGGCGUCUAGGCUGUGACAGUUUGAUGUCGCAAUGAAAACGUACCUUAUUAACGCCUAUUAUAAUAUAGUUAUUAUGGUUAGCAUACACUAAGAUUCUUUGACUCUAUUAUAAUUAUAUUUUAUAAAUUAUAAUAAUAUACUACGUACCCGUUGGACGGCUGAUUGUUUUGCGGUUUUUGUUGUUGC
Aphis gossypii (cotton aphid) is the source of this 688-nucleotide long non-coding RNA. RefSeq lists it as uncharacterized. The transcript is spliced from 5 exons. The record is from RefSeq and is a predicted model, not a curated record. Lineage: Eukaryota; Metazoa; Arthropoda; Insecta; Hemiptera; Aphididae.